CGCUGAACUUAAGCAUAUCAAUAAGCGGAGGAAAAGAAACUAACAAGGAUUCCCCUAGUAACUGCGAGUGAAGAGGGAAAAGCUCAAAUUUGUAAUCUGGCGGCCUUUGGCCGUCCGAGUUGUAAUCUAGAGAAGUGCUACCUGCGCUGGACCGUGUACAAGUCUCCUGGAAUGGAGCAUCAUAGAGGGUGAGAAUCCCGUCUUUGACAUGGACUGCCAGAGCUUAUAGGUGCGCUCUCAAAGAGUCGAGUUGUUUGGGAAUGCAGCUCAAAAUGGGUGGUAAAUGCCAUCUAAAGCUAAAUAUUGGCGAGAGACCGAUAGCGAACAAGUACCGUGAGGGAAAGAUGAAAAGAACUUUGGAAAGAGAGUUAAACAGUACGUGAAAUUGCUGAAAGGGAAACGCUUGAAGUCAGUCGCGUCAGUUGGAAWUCAACCUUGCUUUUGCUGGGUGUACUUUCUGUCUGAUGGGUCAGCAUCAAUUUCGAUCGCUGGAUAAAGUUCUUGGGAAUGUGGCAUCCUUGGAUGUGUUAUAGCCCUUGGACACAUKCAGUGGUUGGGAUUGAGGAACUCAGCACGCCGCAAGGCUGGGGCUUUUGUCCACAAUACGUGC
This 610-nucleotide ribosomal RNA is filed under the name Inosperma subrubescens. RNAcentral describes it as "LSU rRNA". It matches the Rfam family "Eukaryotic large subunit ribosomal RNA", at positions 26 to 626 of the family's 3401-position model. The record is from RNAcentral. Lineage: Eukaryota; Fungi; Basidiomycota; Agaricomycetes; Agaricales; Inocybaceae.